RNAcentral lists this non-coding RNA (79 nucleotides) under pig gut metagenome. RNAcentral's name for it is "TPP riboswitch (THI element)". It matches the Rfam family "TPP riboswitch aptamer (THI element)", at positions 7 to 92 of the family's 105-position model. From Rfam's summary of the family: Vitamin B(1) in its active form thiamin pyrophosphate (TPP) is an essential coenzyme that is synthesised by coupling of pyrimidine and thiazole moieties in bacteria. The previously detected thiamin-regulatory element, thi box was extended, resulting in a new, highly conserved RNA secondary structure, the THI element, which is widely distributed in eubacteria and also occurs in some archaea. The record is from RNAcentral.
CAAGAGGGGUGCCUCAUCGACCGGGGCUGAGAUCAUACCCUGUGAACUUGAUACGGUUAGUACCGUCGAAAGGACUUGU